This 2679-nucleotide ribosomal RNA is filed under the name Triticum aestivum (bread wheat). Its description in RNAcentral is "partial small subunit ribosomal RNA". Lineage: Eukaryota; Viridiplantae; Streptophyta; Magnoliopsida; Poales; Poaceae. The record is from RNAcentral.
AUGCCCCUGGACCCCGACCACUCGCCGUCGCCGCCGCCGCAGCCGCCGCACCGCGACUGGUUCUUCCCGCCGGCGCCGCCCUUCCUCCCCUCCUCCUCCAGGUCCCUCGGACCCAGGGCCCCCUUCCCCUCCACCUCCCGCUCCUACAAGCCCUACUCGCCCGCCGACCGCCGCCCGCUCCCGGCCCCCCGCUCCCGCUCCCGCUCCCCGCACCCCUCGCCGGAGCAGCAGUCGCCGCAGCCCCCCUCCGCGCCGCGCCUCCGCGGCUGGGACCCCCGCUACGCGGGCGUCCGCCGCGGCGAUGCGCAGGCGCCCGCAGCUGCAGCCGCGCCGCCGGCCGCCCCGCCGGCGGUGCCCGACAGGAAGUCGCCGCCCGCGUCCGCGCUCACCCUCCGUUGGUCCGGGAUGCUCUCCGCCGCGGCCAUUCUGCUCUGCUUCGCCUCCCUCCUCCACAGGAACUUCUCCCUGCACGACCAGGUCCACCAUUUGCGGGGACAGCUUGGCGCGGCCACGGCGAAGCUGCAGUCAUGUAUCGUCGUCAUGGACUCCUCGCUGGACAUGAGCAGCGCGUUUUCGGACCAGAGCAACGACGAGUUUGUGCCCAGCAGAAGCCUGAAGAAUUUCUCCCUGCUGCUCUCGCUGUCCGCGCUGUAUGCGCCGAUAAUUAUUCUCAAGUACAUCGACCUUCUGUCCAGGCUGAGGAGAUCGCGAGGCUCUGAAGAUGUCGCCUUCAACAAGCGGUUGGCGUACAGAGUCGAUAUAUUUUUGUCGCUUCAUCCGUACGCUAAACCCUUGGUUCUUCUUGUCGGUACAAUGUUGCUUAUCGGUCUUGGUGGGCUCGCUCUUUAUGGGGUUACUGAUGAUAGCUUGUCGGAUUGCCUCUGGUUAUCGUGGACCUUUGUGGCUGAUGCGGGAAACCAUGCAAAUGCCGUGGGCCUUGGGCCUAAGUUGGUUUCAGUUUCAAUCAGUAUUGGUGGGAUGUUGGUUUUUGCCAUGAUGCUUGGUCUUGUGACUGAUUCAAUCUCAGAGAAGUUUGAUUCUUUGAGGAAAGGAAGGAGCGAGGUCAUAGAGCAGAGUCACACCCUGAUCCUUGGGUGGAGUGACAAGUUGGGAUCUUUACUGAACCAAAUUUGUAUUGCUAACGAAAGUUUGGGAGGAGGGACUAUCGUAGUGAUGGCCGAGAGAGACAAAGAGGAAAUGGAAGCAGAUAUUGCUAAAAUGGAGUUUGACUUGAAAGGAACGGCUGUAAUAUGCAGAAGUGGAAGCCCUUUGAUUCUGGCUGACUUGAAAAAGGUCUCAGUUUCUAAGGCGCGUGCAAUUGUGGUUUUAGCUGAAGAAGGAAAUGCUGACCAGAGUGAUGCCCGAGCACUGCGAAUAGUCUUGAGUUUAACUGGAGUUAAAGAAGGACUAAGAGGUCACAUUGUUGUUGAGCUUAGUGAUCUUGACAAUGAAGUGCUAGUCAAACUUGUUGGUGGAGACCUUGUGGAAACUGUUGUUGCACAUGAUGUAAUAGGUCGGUUGAUGAUACAAUGCGCGCGUCAGCCGGGCCUUGCUCAGAUAUGGGAAGAUAUCCUUGGCUUCGAGAACUGUGAAUUCUAUAUUAAAAGAUGGCCUCAGUUGGUCGGAAUGCAAUUUGAAGAUGUGCUGAUUAGUUUUCCUGAUGCUGUUCCAUGUGGAAUAAAGAUGGCAUCUUACGGGGGCAAGAUUAUUUUAAAUCCUGAUGAUUGUUAUGUCUUGCAAGAGGGCGAUGAGGUGAUAGUAAUUGCAGAGGAUGAUGAUACAUAUACCCCAGCACCAUUACCCAAGGUUAAAGAAGCUGUUUACAUAGACAUUGUUCGCCAUGAAAGAAACUCCCAGAAGAUUCUUCUUUGUGGAAUGCGACGGGAUAUAGAUGAUAUGAUUGUGGUACUGGAUGCUUUCCUAGCUCCAGGGUCAGAGUUGUGGAUGUUCAAUGAUGUCCCUGAGAUAGAUAGAGAAAGAAAGCUAAUUGAAGGAGGUCUGGACUUUAGUCGUCUUGAAAAUAUUACGUUGGUUCAUCGAGAAGGAAAUGCUGUUAUUCGCCGUCACUUGGAGAGCCUCCCUUUAGAGUCGUUUGAUUCUAUAUUGAUUUUGGCAGAUGAAUCUGUAGAAGAUUCAGCAAUCCAAGCUGAUUCGAGGUCUCUUGCAACGUUACUGUUGAUCAGAGAUAUUCAGGCAAAACGUCUUCCAUACAAGGAAGCGAUUGGUUCAGAUGGUUUCCGAAGAAGCUUAUCAGAAGGUUCUUGGAUGGGAGAGAUGCAACAAGCAUCUGAUAAAUCUGUUAUAAUCAGUGAGAUAUUGGAUCCUAGGACUAAAAAUUUAUUAUACAUGUCAAAAAUAAGCGACUAUGUUCUUUCAAAUGAACUCGUGAGCAUGGCAUUGGCAAUGGUUGCAGAAGAUCGCCAAAUAAAUUAUGUCUUGGAGGAGCUCUUUGCUGAACAGGGGAAUGAACUGCAAAUACGACAAUCUGACCUGUACCUUCGAGAAGACGAGGAGCUAAGCUUCUUCGAGGUCAUGCUACGAGCUAGGCAGAGGAAAGAGGUUGUCAUCGGGUACCGUCUUGAGGACGCCGAGCGUGCCAUAAUCAAUCCACCAGACAAAGCUUCAAGGAGAAGGUGGUCACCCAAGGAUGUUUUUGUUGCUAUAGCCGAGAAAGAAUGA